AGCGAACGCUGGCGGCAGGCCUAACACAUGCAAGUCGAACGAACCUUUCGGGGUUAGUGGCGGACGGGUGAGUAACACGUGGGAACGUGCCUUUAGGUUCGGAAUAACUCAGGGAAACUUGUGCUAAUACCGAAUGUGCCCUUCGGGGGAAAGAUUUAUCGCCUUUAGAGCGGCCCGCGUCUGAUUAGCUAGUUGGUUGAGGUAAUGGCUCACCAAGGCGACGAUCAGUAGCUGGUCUGAGAGGAUGAUCAGCCACAUUGGGACUGAGACACGGCCCAAAAUCCUACGGGAGGGAGCAGUGGGGAGUCUUGCGAAAUGGGCGAAAGCCUGACGCAGCCAUGCCGCGUGAAUGAUGAAGGUCUUAGGAUUGUAAAAUUCUUUCACCGGGGACGAUAAUGACGGUACCCGGAGAAGAAGCCCCGGCUAACUUCGUG
This 434-nucleotide ribosomal RNA is filed under the name uncultured bacterium. RNAcentral's name for it is "partial 16S ribosomal RNA". It matches the Rfam family "Bacterial small subunit ribosomal RNA", at positions 29 to 507 of the family's 1533-position model. The record is from RNAcentral.